AUUGAACGCUGGCGGCAGGCCUAACACAUGCAAGUCGAACGGUAACAGGAAGAAGCUUGCUUCUUUGCUGACGAGUGGCGGACGGGUGAGUAAUGUCUGGGAAACUGCCUGAUGGAGGGGGAUAACUACUGGAAACGGUAGCUAAUACCGCAUAACGUCGCAAGACCAAAAAGGGGGACCUUCGGGCCUCUUGCCAUCGGAUGUGCCCAGAUGGGAUUAGCUAGUAGGUGGGGUAACGGCUCACCUAGGCGACGAUCCCUAGCUGGUCUGAGAGGAUGACCAGCCACACUGGAACUGAGACACGGUCCAGACUCCUACGGGAGGCAGCAGUGGGGAAUAUUGCAUAAUGGGCGCAAGCCUGAUGCAGCCAUGCCGCGUGUAUGAAGAAGGCCUUCGGGUUGUAAAGUACUUUCAGCGGGGAGGAAGGGAGUAAAGUUAAUACCUUUGCUCAUUGACGUUACCCGCAGAAGAAGCACCGGCUAACUCCGUG
This 490-nucleotide ribosomal RNA is filed under the name uncultured bacterium. RNAcentral describes it as "partial 16S ribosomal RNA". It matches the Rfam family "Bacterial small subunit ribosomal RNA", at positions 30 to 507 of the family's 1533-position model. The record is from RNAcentral.